Molecule: ribosomal RNA, 654 nt
Filed under: uncultured archaeon
Lineage: Archaea
Description: bacterial SSU rRNA
Rfam family: Archaeal small subunit ribosomal RNA
Source: RNAcentral
UCCGGUUGAUCCUGCCAGAGGCCGCUGCUAUCCGGCUGGGACUAAGCCAUGCUAGUCUAGGGGCUUGUACCCCUUCGGGGGUGCAAGCACCGGCGGACGGCUCAGUAACACGUGGACAACCUGCCCUCGGGUGGGGGAUAACCCCGGGAAACUGGGGCUAAUCCCCCAUAGGUGAUGGGUGCUGGAAUGCCCCAUCUCCGAAAGCGCUCAGCGCCCGAGGAUGGGUCUGCGGCGGAUUAGGUAGUUGGUGGGGUAACGGCCCACCAAGCCUAAGAUCCGUACGGGCUGUGGGAGCAGGAGCCCGGAGAUGGACCCUGAGACAAGGGUCCAGGCCCUACGGGGCGCAGCAGGCGCGAAACCUCCGCAAUGCGGGAAACCGCGACGGGGUUAGCCGGAGUGCCCGUGCAUUGCACGGGCUGUCGGGGUGCCUAAACAGCACCCCAUAGCAAGGGCCGGGCAAGGCCGGUGGCAGCCGCCGCGGUAAGACCGGCGGCCCGAGUGGCGGCCACUCUUAUUGGGCCUAAAGCGUCCGUAGCCGGCCCAGUAAGUCCCCCGGGAAAUCUGGUCGCUUAACGAUCAGACUUCCGGGGGAUACUGCUGGGCUAGGGACCGGGAGAGGCCGAGGGUAUUCCCGGGGUAGGGGUGAAAUCCUGU